UUGGGGGAAAAAUUAGUAUAAAUUAAUUAAAUUAAUAAAAAUAAUUUUAAAUAAAUAUUUAAAUGGGGGGUUUAAGUAUAUUAUAUAGAAAAAAUUAUUUAAUUUAUAGAAAAUUAGUAUUGUGAGAGAAAUUUGAAAUAAUUGAAAAUUAAUUUUUAAAUAAGUAAAUUUAAUUUAUUGUAUCUUGUGUAUCAGAGUUUAUUAAAAAAAAAAUUUAAUUAAAAUUUUCUCGAAUUUAAAAGAGUAAAUUAAUUAUAAAAGUUAUUGUUGUAAAAAUAUUUUAAAUAAUUAAUUAGAAAUGAAAUGUUAAUCGUUUUUAAAUAUAUCUAGUUUUUUUAGAAAAAAAUUAAAUUUUUAAUUAAUUUAAUUAAAAAUUUAAUUAAAUAAAUUUUUAAAAAAUUAAUUUAAUAUUUUAAGGGAUAAGCUUUAAUUUAAAUUAUUAUAAAUAAUAAAUUUUAAAAAUGAAAAUUUUAAUAUUUAUAUUGUUUAUAAAUUAUAAUUUUUUAUAAAUAAUUUCAUUUAAAUUAAAAUUUAAUUUAAUAUUUUAAUAUUUUAUAAAAAAAUAAAAUUUAUUUAAUUAAUUUUAGAUAUAAUGAUAAAAUUAGUAUAUACAUAUAAUAAAUUAAUUUUUAAAAUUUAUUUUUAAAAUUAAUAAUAAGGAAUUCGGCAAAAAUUUAUAUUCACUUGUUUAUCAAAAACAUGUCUUUUUGAUUAAUAAUUUAAAGUCUAAUCUGCCCACUGAUUUUUUAAAGGGCUGCAGUAUUUUGACUGUACAAAGGUAGCAUAAUCAUUAGUCUCUUAAUUGGUGACUUGUAUGAAGGAUUGGAUGAAAUAUAGACUGUCUUAUUUUUAAAAUUAGAAUUUAAUUUUUUAGUCAAAAAGCUAAAAUAGUUUUAAAAGACGAGAAGACCCUAUAGAGUUUUAUAUAAUAAUAUAAUUGGAAAUUUUUUUAUAAAUUUUAAAUUUAAAUUAAUUAUUAUAUUUUAUUGGGGUGAUAAAAAAAUAAAAAAAACUUUUUUUUUAUUAAAUAUGAAAUAUUUAAUUUAACAUUAAUAAAUGAUUAUUUGAUCCAAAAUUUUUGAUUAUAAGAUUAAAUUACCUUAGGGAUAACAGCGUAAUUUUUUUUUUUAGUUCGUAUAAAAAAAAAAGUUUGCGACCUCGAUGUUGGAUUAAGGUAAAAUUUAAAUGCAAAAGUUUAAAAUUUUGAUCUGUUCGAUCAUUAAAAUCUUACAUGAUCUGAGUUCAAACCGGUGUAAGCCAGGUUGGUUUCUAUCUUUAAAUUUAAUAAAUAUUUUAGUACGAAAGGAUCAAAUAUUUAAAAUAAUUUUAAAAUUAUUGAAUAUUAUUAAUUGAUAAAUAAAUUAAAUAUUAUUUUAAUUAAAUUUAUAAAAUAUUUACUUAUAUUAUUAAU
Molecule: ribosomal RNA, 1411 nt
Filed under: Cochylimorpha cultana
Lineage: Eukaryota; Metazoa; Arthropoda; Insecta; Lepidoptera; Tortricidae
Description: 16S ribosomal RNA
Source: RNAcentral